RNAcentral lists this ribosomal RNA (513 nucleotides) under uncultured bacterium. RNAcentral describes it as "partial 16S ribosomal RNA". It matches the Rfam family "Bacterial small subunit ribosomal RNA", at positions 28 to 523 of the family's 1533-position model. The record is from RNAcentral.
GACGAACGCUGGCGGCAUGCCUAAUACAUGCAAGUCGAGCGAACAGAUGAAGUGCUUGCACUUCUGACGUUAGCGGCGAACGGGUGAGUAACACGUAAGGAAUCUACCUAUAAGCGGGGGAUAACAUUCGGAAACGGGUGCUAAUACCGCAUAAUAUCUUCUUCCGCAUGGAAGAAGAUUGAAAGACGGCUCUGCUGUCACUUAUAGAUGACCUUGCGGUGCAUUAGUUAGUUGGUGGGGUAACGGCCUACCAAGACGAUGAUGCAUAGCCGACCGGAGGGGGUGAUCGGCCACAUGGGGACUGAGACACGGCCCAAACUCCGACGGGAGGCAGCAGUAGGGAAUCUUCCGCAAUGGGCGAAAGCCUGACGGAGCAAUGCCGCGUGAGUGAAGAAGGCCUUCGGGUCGUAAAACUCUGUUAUAAGAGAAGAACAAAUUGUAGAGUAACUGCUACAGUCUUGACGGUAUCUUAUCAGAAAGCCACGGCUAACUACGUGCCAGCCGCCGCAGUAA